AUGCUCAUCCCAGGCUGCUGGAGUAUCUUGAAGAUAAAGUUGAGACCUUAAACUUGAUUUUUGAAAAUGAACUUGAUGUUGUGUAACUAAGUCUCAUUGUGCCAUGAGGUCAACUGGAGCAAGACUGUAAUGGAAAAUUACUUCAUGUGUUAAAUAAAUCAGACUAUUCCACAAAAGCAAAAAAAAUUUAAGGUUUUAGCAGCAGAAAAGGUGGGGGAGAUGCACUGUAAGUAAGAGAGGAGUAUGACUGCUCAGAGCUCCGGUAUGAAACUGCAGAAAAACCCGAGUCUCUCUGGAUUAAGAAGUGUGAGCAACAAGGCUGAUGUCGUGGUGGGAGUCUGCUAUAGACCACCAGACCAAGGGGAUGAGGUGGACGAGGCUUUCUUCCGGCAACUAGCAGAAGUUACUAGAUCGCAGGCCCUGGUUCUCUUGGGAGACUUUAAUCACCCUGAUAUCUGCUGGGAGAUCAAUACAGCGAUGCACAGACAAUCCAGGAAGUUUUUGAAAAGUGUAGGGGACAAUUUCCUGGUGCAAGUGCUGGAGGAACCAACUAGGGGCAGAGCUCUUCUUGACCUGCUGCUCACAAACCGGGAAGAAUUAGUAGGGGUAGCAAAAGUGGAUGGGAACCUAGGAGGCAGUGACCAUGAGAUGGUCAAAUUCAGGAUCCUGACACAAGGAAGAAAGGAAAGCAGCAGAAUACGGACCAUGGACUUCAGAAAAGCAGACUUUGACUCCCUCAGGGAACUGAUGGGCAGGAUCCCCUGGGAGAAUAACAUGAGGGGGAAAGGAGUCCAGGAGAGCUGGCUGUAUUUUAAAGAAUCCUUAUUGAGGUUGCAGGAACAAACCAUCCCGAUGUGUAGAAAGAAUUGUAAAUAUGGCAGGCAACCAGCUUGGCUUAACAGUGAAAUCCUUGCCAAUCUUAAACACAAAAAAGCAGCUUACAAGAAGUGGAAGAUUGGACAAAUGACCAGGGAGGAGUAUAAAAAUAUUGCUCAGGCAUGCAGGAGUGAAAUCAGGAAGGCCAAGUCACACUUGGAGUUGCAGCUAGAAAGAGAUGUUAAGAGUAACAAGAAGGGUUUCUUCAGGUAUGUUAGCAACAAGAAAAAAGUCAAAGAAAGUGUGGGCCCCUUACUGAAUGAGGGAGGCAACCUAGUGACAGAGGAUGUGGAAAAAACUAAUGUACUCAAUGAUUUUUUUGCCUCUGUCUUCACGAACAAGGUCAGCUCCCAGACUGCUGCAUUGGGCAGCACAGUAUGGGGAGAAGGUGACCAGCCCGCUGUGGACAAAGAAGUGGUUCGGGACUAUUUAGAAAAACUGGAUGAGCACAAGUCCAUGGGGCCAGAUGCGCUGCAUCCGAGGGUGCUAAAGGAGUUGGCGGAUGUGAUUGCGGAGCCAUUGGCCAUUAUUUUUGAAAACUCAUGGUGAUCGGGGGAGGUCCCGGAUGACUGGAAAAAGGCUAAUGNNNNNNNNNNNNNNNNNNNNNNNNNNNNNNNNNNNNNNNNNNNNNNNNNNNNNNNNNNNNNNN
This 1525-nucleotide long non-coding RNA is filed under the name Chrysemys picta bellii (western painted turtle). RNAcentral's name for it is "lncRNA (ENSCPBG00000017383.1)". The record is from RNAcentral. Lineage: Eukaryota; Metazoa; Chordata; Testudines; Emydidae.